This 467-nucleotide ribosomal RNA is filed under the name uncultured bacterium. RNAcentral's name for it is "partial 16S ribosomal RNA". It matches the Rfam family "Bacterial small subunit ribosomal RNA", at positions 28 to 507 of the family's 1533-position model. The record is from RNAcentral.
GACGAACGCUGGCGGCGUGCUUAACACAUGCAAGUCGAACGGAAAGGCCAGGAGGGUGUGGGGUGCUCGAGUGCGAAGGGGUGAGUAACACGGGAGUAACCUGCCCGUGACUUGGGGAGAAGGGCAGGAAACUGGGGCGAAUAGAGGAUAGGAGGGGCGGCUGCAUGGUGGGGGUUGGAAAGUUUCGGCGGUUGGGGAUGGACGCGCGGCGGAGCAGCUUGUUGUGUGGGUAGUGGCUUACCCCGGCUUUGACGGGUAGCCGGCCUGAGAGGGUCCCAGGGCACAUUCCCACUGAGAUCCUCCCCCGAGUCGUCCGGGAGGCAGCAGUGGGCGCUAGUGCACAAUGGGCGGAAGCCUGAUGCAGACACUCCGCUUGCGGGAUGACGGCCUUCGGGUUCUAAACCUCUUUCGCCUGUGACGAAGCGUUCCUGCCGGUAAUGGGUAAAGAAGCACCGGCUAACUACGUG